GCCCUGCUCACUAGGAGCAAAGAUGGCGACAAUACACCAUGCGCAGUUCCCAGGAAAAAGACCCGGGGACACAACUCCAGGACUUGUAGGUCGAUAAUCGAGGUUUGAGGUAUUCGACAAGUGUUUACAAACCCUUCCCUUCCCCAGGUAGGCCCCAGCACUCUCUCCGCGGUCCCGCAUCCUAACCGCCUGCAGAUUAGAACAGAAAGCGUCUUUGCCCACUGUUCUCAACGUCACUGCACAUGCUACAGAAGUUGUGUGGGAUCGCGUCUGUGUACCACUCUCCUGUGUCAUGCACAGGUGAUAGUCACCACCGCAGGGGAUGAUGGGUUUUUGAAAGUAAGAAAUUUUCAGAUGGGAAUCUCAAACAAAAUAUCAAGAGCUGAAUCUCGUCAGCCCCUGAAUGUGGAAGGAAAAGUGUUUCUCUGUUCUGUCUCUGGAAAAAGAUUUCAAACAUCAGUGAGACUGAGGUACAGAGAUGCACAAACAGAGACCUAAGUAAGAAUGUGCCAGUAAGAUGACUAUGGAAAGAGCUUUAAUCACUUACAUAAUCUGAAAAACAUCACAACAUUCACAGUGGGGAAAACCCAUACAUAUGUCUUGUGUGUGGAUGUGGCUUCAACUGAUCAUCUCCCCUGGAGAGACACAAGGACGCCCACAACAUGGAGAAAGCAUGGAAAUGCGCGGACUGCGGGAAAGGAUUUAGUUACCCAUCUCGGUUGGAAGUCCAUCGACGCAGUCACACUGGGGAGAAACCAUUCACCUGCUCCGUGUGCAGGAAGGGAUUCGCUCGACCUUCUAGCCUUUGUUCACACCAGCAAGUUCACACCAAGGAGAAGCCAUGCACCUGUCCCAUAUGUGGGAAAGGAUUUACUCGGUCAUCCUCUCUCAUGGUACACCAGCGAAUUCACACCGAGGAGAGGCCGUACAGCUGUACUCACUGUCGAAAAACAUUCAGGUCUUCAUCCAACCUCAGUCAACACCAGCGAGUUCACACUAGGGAGAGGCCCUUCACCUGCUCCACGUGUGGGAAGGGAUUCUCAAAGACAUCCAACUUGGUGACUCACCAACGCGUUCACUCUGAGGAGAGGCCGUUCAGCUGCACUCACUGUGGAAAGAGAUUCAAACAUUCAUGCAGCCUCAGUGACCACCAGCAACUUCACACUGGGGAUGGGCUGUUCACUUGCUCCAUGUGUGGGAAGACAUUUACAAAACCUCUCAAUCUGGCAGCUCACCAGCGAAUUCACACAGGGGAGAAACCAUUCACCUGCACUGUGUGUGGGAAAGGAUUCUCAGAGACAUCCAACUUGGUGACUCACCAACGUGUUCACUCUGAGGAAAGGCCGUUCAGCUGCACUCACUGUGGAAAGAGGUUCAAACAUUCACACAGCCUCAGUGACCACCAGCGAGUUCACACUGGGGAGGGGCUGUUCACUUGCUCAGUGUGUGGGAAGACAUUCACAAAGUCUCACAAUCUGGUAACUCACCAGCAAAUUCGCACAGGGGAGAAACCAUUCACCUGCACUGUGUGUGGGAAGGGAUUCACUGCAUCAUCAACUCUCAAGUCUCACCAGCAAAUUCACACAGAAGAGAAGCCAUUCAGCUGCACUUACUGUGGAAAGAGUUUCAGGUGUUCAUCUACUCUCCUCAUUCACCAGGGAGUUCACACUGGAGAGAGACCAUUUACCUGCUCUAUGUGUGGGAAAUAAUUCAAUAGGUCCUUCAACCUAGCGGCACAUGUGCGAGUUCAUAAAUAACUGCAGAAGGAAGAUUCUACUGUUAUUGAUUCUGUGAAUCACAUUCAAGUUUGGAAGUCUGAUAAUAUCAAGAAUGUUUCUUCUGACUACACAAUGUUAUAACAGGCCAGAGUUUAAUUUUAUGGGCAGAUUUCCAUUUUUUAAAAGAAGUGCUACCUGUAAUCCUUACUGUUAAUUCAAGAACUCUCAUCUGGAAUUCAAUCUCAAAACAUUUAGAAGUAAAAGUUUGUAUUGUAAAUUGACCCUUGGUGCAAAGUCUACUGUUCAGAAUCUGAAAGGAUCCGCUGAUGAACAUUUCCUAAUUAUGCUGGAUGUCGGACACAUCAGGAGGGUGAGAGAUUUGGAAGGAACAUGGAGGUAAUGGUGUCCACAUCUCUUAUCCUGAACCUUCGAGAUGGUGAAGAUUGAGAGUUUAGGAGAUUCUGUCCAAGAGCUGGUCGAGCUUUUCAGAGGGUGCCAGAAAGGGAUCACAGAUCCAGCAGCACCUCAGAAUCUGAUGGAAGCUUCCAAUUAAUCACAACCAAAAUGUAAUUGGAUUGUGAACAUGGAUGGAAAGAACACAGUAUGCAGUGAAGAGAAAACCAACAUAUGUUCUAUGUGUGGACAAGGCUUAAGCCUAUCGUCUGGCCUGUCAAGGCACAAGUGCAGUUACUGUGUGUAGAGACCAUGGAAAUGUGGACACUGUGGGAAGCAAUUAAGUGACCAAUCCAAGCUGGAAAUUCACCAAAGCAGCCACACUGCAGACAGGCCAUGGAAAUGUAGGGACUGUGAUGAAGAAUUAACAUUCCUGCCUAAGCUGGAGAUCCAUUGGCGCAGAAUGGGGAGACACCAUUCAUGUGCUCUGAGUGUGUAAAAAGAUUUAUUCACUCUUCCUACCUUAUGACCCACCAGUGAGUUUACACUGGGGAGAUUCCUUUUAAAUGCACAGACUGCAAGAAGUGUGACAAAUUUUCAAAGGAAAUGCUGUCCCAUCACCAUGUUCACACUGAGGAGAGUCCGUUCAGAUCCUCUUACUGUGGGAAAGGGUUCAAGACGUCAUCUGAAUUCACUGUACACCAGAGAAUUCAGAGUGUGUGUGGGAAGGUAUUCACUUGGUCAUCGCACCUCACAAUAUACUAGCGAAUCUUCACUGAGGCGAGACAUUUUAACUGCCCAGAGUGUGGGAAGUGCUUUCAGAGUCUGACUAUCUGAUGAACCAUUAAUGCGUUCAUAAAGAAGAAGUACCUUUCAGAUGCUGUCUAUGUGUGGAUCUGCAUUCAAACAACCAUUUCACUUCACAGUACACCAGUGAGCUCACAAGGGGUAGAGGCUGUUCACCUAUACUGAGUAAGGAAGGGAUUCACUUGGAAAGCCCUCCUCAUUCACCAGUGAGUUCACAUGUAACUACAGGAGUUGGCCUUUGCUGUUAGUCAUAUCCAGGACUGAACCAUGUUCAUUGGUUAAUAAACCCCUGCUCAGUUUGAAUUGUUAAUAUUCUGGAUAAAACUAAAAUAAAUAGCUUUGUAAUGAAACAAAGCCUUUUAUUA
This is an RNA transcript of Rhincodon typus (whale shark), 3283 nucleotides long. It is a transcript of the gene named zinc finger protein ZFP2-like, with no coding region annotated. Lineage: Eukaryota; Metazoa; Chordata; Chondrichthyes; Orectolobiformes; Rhincodontidae. The transcript is spliced from 4 exons. The record is from RefSeq and is a predicted model, not a curated record.